CCUACGGGAGGCUGCAGUAACGAAUAUUGGACAAUGGGCGAAAGCCUGAUCCAGCGACGCCGCGUGUAGGAAGAAGUCCCUCGGGAUGUAAACUACUGUCAGGGACCACCAAGCAAUCGAGGAUAAUACCCUUGUGCGUUGAGGAAUCCCAGAGGAAGUCACGGCUAACUUCGUGCCAGCAGCCGCGGUAAGACGAAGGUGGCGAGCGUUGUUCGGAAUCACUGGGCUUAAAGAGCACGUAGGCGGACUGUCAAGCGUUUUGUGAAAGCCCUCGGCUCAACCGAGGAAUCGCUUGGCGAACUGGCAGUCUUGAGGCAGGUAGGGGCAACUGGAACUCAUGGUGGAGCGGUGGAAUGCGUAGAUAUCAUGAGGAACGCCAGAGGCGAAGGCGAGUUGCUGGGCCUGUCCUGACGCUGAGGUGCGAAAGCUAGGGUAGCGAACGGGAUUAGAUACCCCGGUAGUCCUAGCCCUAAACGAUGUCCACUAGGUCGGAGGCACUCUGACGUGUUUCUGGCCGAAAUGAAAACGGCAAGUGGACCGCCUGGGGAGUACGGUCGCAAGGCUAAAACUCAAAGGAAUUGACGGGGGCUCACACAAGCGGUGGAG
RNAcentral lists this ribosomal RNA (606 nucleotides) under uncultured bacterium. Its description in RNAcentral is "bacterial SSU rRNA". It matches the Rfam family "Bacterial small subunit ribosomal RNA", at positions 338 to 937 of the family's 1533-position model. The record is from RNAcentral.